UGGUGGAGUGAUUUGUCUGCUUAAUUGCGAUAACGAACGAGACCUUAACCUGCUAAAUAGCCGGGCUAGCUUUGGCUGGUCGUCGGCUUCUUAGAGGGACUAUCGGCUCAAGCCGAUGGAGGUUUGAGGCAAUAACA
This 137-nucleotide ribosomal RNA is filed under the name uncultured eukaryote. RNAcentral describes it as "partial 18S ribosomal RNA". It matches the Rfam family "Eukaryotic small subunit ribosomal RNA", at positions 1299 to 1458 of the family's 1831-position model. The record is from RNAcentral.